GCUGGAAUCGCUAGUAAUCGCGGAUCAGAAUGCCGCGGUGAAUACGUUCCCGGGUCUUGUACACACCGCCCGUCACACCAUGGGAGUCGGAAAUGCCCGAAGUCUGUGACCCAACCUCAGGGAGGGAGCAGCCGAAGGCAGGUCGGAUGACUGGGGUGAAGUCGUAACAAGGUAUC
RNAcentral lists this ribosomal RNA (176 nucleotides) under uncultured bacterium. Its description in RNAcentral is "partial 16S ribosomal RNA". It matches the Rfam family "Bacterial small subunit ribosomal RNA", at positions 1325 to 1500 of the family's 1533-position model. The record is from RNAcentral.